RNAcentral lists this long non-coding RNA (301 nucleotides) under Erythranthe guttata (spotted monkey flower). RNAcentral's name for it is "long non-coding RNA (EGUT_LNC002166)". The record is from RNAcentral. Lineage: Eukaryota; Viridiplantae; Streptophyta; Magnoliopsida; Lamiales; Phrymaceae.
AAAAAUGAGUUCUUGUUCAAAUUCAAGCAAGAGAUUGGAGUUAAUACGAACUAAAAAUCAAAUUUCUGAAAUCCACGCGAAGAACAAGUCAAUUCGGAUCAAAAUUGAAAAAUCCCCAAAAACUGAAAUUAGGGUUCUUACCUUGGGUGUAGGCCUGGGGAAUCGGGAGGCGCAAGUGGUGGUGGUCGUCGGAGAAUUGGGAGGCGCUACUGGUGGUGGUGGUCGUCGGAGAGCCGAGAUGCGCUAGUGGUGGUGGUCGUCGGAGAACCGGAAGGCAGUGAUGGUGGUGGUCGUCGGAGAA